ACGUACCACAGGGGGAGCCUGAAUGGCUGAGAGUGAACCAAUUGUUCUGACCCUUUGAACCUGUUAGUUAAUGCUAGCGUAGGGAGUGUGGAGCGUGCAGCUU
Molecule: non-coding RNA, 103 nt
Filed under: Bacillus sp. (in: firmicutes)
Lineage: Bacteria; Bacillati; Bacillota; Bacilli; Caryophanales; Bacillaceae
Also listed under: 1 other name
Description: Bacillus sp. TPP sequence
Rfam family: TPP riboswitch aptamer (THI element)
About the family: Vitamin B(1) in its active form thiamin pyrophosphate (TPP) is an essential coenzyme that is synthesised by coupling of pyrimidine and thiazole moieties in bacteria. The previously detected thiamin-regulatory element, thi box was extended, resulting in a new, highly conserved RNA secondary structure, the THI element, which is widely distributed in eubacteria and also occurs in some archaea.
Source: RNAcentral